UGGGGAAUAUUGCACAAUGGGCGCAAGCCUGAUGCAGCGACGCCGCGUGGGGGAUGACGGCCUUCGGGUUGUAAACCUCUUUCAGCAGGGACGAAGCGAAAGUGACGGUACCUGCAGAAGAAGCACCGGCCAACUACGUGCCAGCAGCCGCGGUAAUACGUAGGGUGCGAGCGUUGUCCGGAAUUACUGGGCGUAAAGAGCUCGUAGGUGGUUUGUCGCGUUGUUCGUGAAAACCGGGGGCUUAACCCUCGGCGUGCGGGCGAUACGGGCAGACUAGAGUACUGCAGGGGAGACUGGAAUUCCUGGUGUAGCGGUGGAAUGCGCAGAUAUCAGGAGGAACACCGGUGGCGAAGGCGGGUCUCUGGGCAGUAACUGACGCUGAGGAGCGAAAGCGUGGGGAGCGAACAGGAUUAGAUACCCUGGUAGUCCACGCCGUAAACGGUGGGUACUAGGUGU
RNAcentral lists this ribosomal RNA (456 nucleotides) under uncultured bacterium. RNAcentral's name for it is "partial 16S ribosomal RNA". It matches the Rfam family "Bacterial small subunit ribosomal RNA", at positions 355 to 823 of the family's 1533-position model. The record is from RNAcentral.